AGUGAACGCUGGCGGUAGGCCUAACACAUGCAAGUCGAACGGCAGCACAGUAAGAGCUUGCUCUUACGGGUGGCGAGUGGCGGACGGGUGAGGAAUACAUCGGAAUCUACUUUUUCGUGGGGGAUAACGUAGGGAAACUUACGCUAAUACCGCAUACGACCUACGGGUGAAAGCAGGGGAUCUUCGCACCUUGCGCGAUUGAAUUAGACGAUGUCGGAUUAGCUAGUUGGCAAGGUAAAGUAACACCAAGGCGACGAUCCGUAGCUGGUCUGAGAGGAUGAUCGGCCACACUGGAACUGAGACACGGUCCAGACUCCUACGGGAGGCAGCAGUGGGGAAUAUUCCACAAUGGGCGCAAGCCUGAUCCAGCCAUACCGCGUGAGUGAAGAAGGCCUUCGGAUUGUAAAACCCUUUUAUUGGGAAAGAAAAAAAGCAUAUUAAUACCCCGCUGUUCUGACGGUACCCAAACAAUAAGCACCGGCUAACUUCGUG
RNAcentral lists this ribosomal RNA (492 nucleotides) under uncultured bacterium. Its description in RNAcentral is "partial 16S ribosomal RNA". It matches the Rfam family "Bacterial small subunit ribosomal RNA", at positions 29 to 507 of the family's 1533-position model. The record is from RNAcentral.